This 1760-nucleotide ribosomal RNA is filed under the name marine metagenome. RNAcentral describes it as "bacterial LSU rRNA". It matches the Rfam family "Bacterial large subunit ribosomal RNA", at positions 1174 to 2925 of the family's 2925-position model. The record is from RNAcentral.
AACGGGGCUAAAUCUAGUACCGAAGCUGCGGAUCUCGUAAGAGAUGGUAGAGGAGCGUUCUGUAAGUCUGUGAAGGUGAAUCGAGAGGUUUGCUGGAGAUAUCAGAAGUGCGAAUGCUGACAUGAGUAACGAUAAAGGGGGUGAAAAACCCCCUCGCUGAAAGACCAAGGGUUCCUGUCCAACGUUAAUCGGGGCAGGGUGAGUCGACCCCUAAGGCGAGGGCGAAAGCCGUAGUCGAUGGGAAACAGGUUAAUAUUCCUGUACCACCACGUGAUGCGAUGGAGGGACGGAGUAGGCUAGGUGAUCCGGGCGUUGGUUGUCCCGGUUCAAGGAUGUAGGCAGAGAGCUUAGGCAAAUCCGGGCUCUUAAUGCUGAGAUCUGAUGUCGAGUGUCUACGGACACGAAGUCAUUGAUGCCAUGCUUCCAAGAAAAGCUUCUAAGCUUCAGUCACGUGGGAUCGUACCCGAAACCGACACAGGUGGUCAGGUCGAGAAGACCAAAGCGCUUGAGAGAACUUGGGUGAAGGAACUAGGCAAAAUGGCACCGUAACUUCGGGAGAAGGUGCGCCGGUGACGGUGAUGGACUUCGCGUCCUAAGCUAUUGCCGGUCGAAGUAACCAGGCCGCUGCGACUGUUUAUUAAAAACACAGCACUCUGCAAACUCGAAAGAGGACGUAUAGGGUGUGACGCCUGCCCGGUGCCGGAAGGUUAAUUGAUGGGGUUAGCGUAUGCGAAGCUCUUGAUCGAAGCCCCGGUAAACGGCGGCCGUAACUAUAACGGUCCUAAGGUAGCGAAAUUCCUUGUCGGGUAAGUUCCGACCUGCACGAAUGGCGUAACGAUGGCGGCGCUGUCUCCACCCAAGACUCAGUGAAAUUGAAAUCGCUGUUAAGAUGCAGUGUAUCCGCGGCUAGACGGAAAGACCCCGUGAACCUUUACUAUAGCUUCACAGUGGACUUUGAAUAUGUUUGUGUAGGAUAGCUGGGAGACUUUGAAACCGGGACGCCAGUCUCGGUGGAGUCAACCUUGAAAUACCAGCCUGACAUGUUUGAGGUUCUAACCCAGAUCAGUGAAUCCUGAUCGGGGACAUUGUGUGGUGGGUAGUUUGACUGGGGCGGUCUCCUCCCAAAGAGUAACGGAGGAGCACGAAGGUACCCUCAGCAUGGUCGGAAAUCAUGCAAUGAGUGCAAGGGCAUAAGGGUGCUUAACUGCGAGACUGACAAGUCGAGCAGGUGCGAAAGCAGGUCCUAGUGAUCCGGUGGUUCUGUAUGGAAGGGCCAUCGCUCAACGGAUAAAAGGUACUCCGGGGAUAACAGGCUGAUACCGCCCAAGAGUUCACAUCGACGGCGGUGUUUGGCACCUCGAUGUCGGCUCAUCACAUCCUGGGGCUGAAGCCGGUCCCAAGGGUAUGGCUGUUCGCCAUUUAAAGUGGUACGCGAGCUGGGUUUAGAACGUCGUGAGACAGUUCGGUCCCUAUCUGCCGUGGACGUUGGAAAUUUGAGAGGGGCUGCUCCUAGUACGAGAGGACCGGAGUGGACGAACCCCUGGUGUUCGGGUUGUCACGCCAGUGGCAUUGCCCGGUAGCUAUGUUCGGAAAGGAUAACCGCUGAAAGCAUCUAAGCGGGAAACCUGCCUCAAGAUGAGAUUUCCCGGGCCUUCGGGCCCCUAAAGGACCGUAGAAGACUACUACGUUGAUAGGUUGGGUGUGUAAGCGCUGUGAGGCGUUGAGCUAACCAAUACUAAUUGUCCGUGAGGCUUGAUCAU